GACGAGGUUGCCCAGUGGUUAAGGCGAUGGACUGCUAAUCUAUUCUGCAUUGCACGCGUGGGUUCACAUCCCAUCCUCGUCC
This 82-nucleotide transfer RNA is filed under the name Loxodonta africana (African savanna elephant). RNAcentral's name for it is "tRNA-Ser (GCT) (tRNA-Ser-GCT-28-1)". It matches the Rfam family "tRNA". Rfam says of the family: Transfer RNA (tRNA) molecules are approximately 80 nucleotides in length. Their secondary structure includes four short double-helical elements and three loops (D, anti-codon, and T loops). Lineage: Eukaryota; Metazoa; Chordata; Mammalia; Proboscidea; Elephantidae. The record is from Rfam by way of RNAcentral.